CAGCGCCACAAGUAGGGACCAGCUUUAUUGGGCUUAAAGCGUUCGUAGUCGGUUUGGUAAAUCCUUUGUGAAAUUGUUAGGCUCAACCUAACGGCGUGCAGAGGACACUACCUGACUAGAGACCGGGAGGAGUUAGAAGUAUUCUUGGGGUAGCGGUAAAAUGCUAUAAUCCCAGGAGGACUACCAGUAGCGAAGGCGUCUAACUAGAACGGGUCUGACGAUGAGGGACGAAAGCCAGGGGAGCGAACCGGAUUAGAUACCCGAGUAGUCC
This 271-nucleotide ribosomal RNA is filed under the name uncultured archaeon. RNAcentral describes it as "partial 16S ribosomal RNA". It matches the Rfam family "Archaeal small subunit ribosomal RNA", at positions 477 to 747 of the family's 1478-position model. The record is from RNAcentral.